Molecule: ribosomal RNA, 523 nt
Filed under: uncultured bacterium
Lineage: Bacteria
Description: partial 16S ribosomal RNA
Rfam family: Bacterial small subunit ribosomal RNA
Source: RNAcentral
UGGGGAAUAUUGCACAAUGGGCGAAAGCCUGAUGCAGCAACGCCGCGUGAGUGAUGAAGGUCUUCGGAUUUGUAAAGCUCUGUCUUUUGGGACGAUAAUGACGGUACCAAAGGAGGAAGCCACGGCUAACUACGUGCCAGCAGCCGCGGUAAUACGUAGGUGGCGAGCGUUGUCCGGAUUUACUGGGCGUAAAGGGUGCGUAGGCGGAUGUUUAAGUGAGAUGUGAAAUACCCGGGCUUAACUUGGGUGCUGCAUUUCAAACUGGAUAUCUAGAGUGCAGGAGAGGAGAAUGGAAUUCCUAGUGUAGCGGUGAAAUGCGUAGAGAUUAGGAAGAACACCAGUGGCGAAGGCGAUUCUCUGGACUGUAACUGACGCUGAGGCACGAAAGCGUGGGUAGCAAACAGGAUUAGAUACCCUGGUAGUCCACGCCGUAAACGAUGAGUACUAGGUGUAGGAGGUAUCGACCCCUUCUGUGCCGCAGUAAACACAUUAAGUACUCCGCCUGGGAAGUACCGAUCGCAAG